CACGUACUGUGCGAACGUUAUUCGGAAUCACUGGGCUUAAAGGGUGCGUAGGCGGUUUAAUAAGUAGGGUGUGAAAUGCCAGGGCUCAACCUUGGCACGGCGCUCUAAACUGUUAAACUUGAGUGAGAUAGGGGUGUACGGAACUUCCGGUGGAGCGGUGAAAUGCGUUGAUAUCGGAAGGAACACCGGUGGCGAAAGCGGUACACUGGGUCUUAACUGACGCUGAGGCACGAAAGCUAGGGUAGCGAACGGG
This 253-nucleotide ribosomal RNA is filed under the name uncultured bacterium. RNAcentral describes it as "partial 16S ribosomal RNA". It matches the Rfam family "Bacterial small subunit ribosomal RNA", at positions 524 to 776 of the family's 1533-position model. The record is from RNAcentral.